This 1308-nucleotide long non-coding RNA is filed under the name Citrus maxima (pomelo). Its description in RNAcentral is "long non-coding RNA (CMAX_LNC002264)". The record is from RNAcentral. Lineage: Eukaryota; Viridiplantae; Streptophyta; Magnoliopsida; Sapindales; Rutaceae.
GCUGAACUUUCCAAAUGUCUCAUACGAAUAAAACCAACAAUAGUACGGGAUCAAACACAAAUCCACAUACCCAAAGUUGUCUCCUCCGAAAAAAGGCUUGUCUCCAAGCUCCCCUCCCAAGGUCUUCAGAACUUCGAUGAACUCCUUCUUUGCUGCCUCCUGCUCUUCUCCCUUUGUGGCCCAUGUCUUCCUCGAAGUAUCGUACAUCUGCAAUUUACUUUUAAUAUUGUAUCAAAAAGUUUAUUUGUAAUAUACAAAAUUUAGCACUUUUACCAUCCAUCUCAAGACAACAAUAUCAGCAGCCGAUGGGUGCAAGUCUUACAGAGCCAAAAUAAAGGACUGAAUUUAAGUUUUCUUAGUAGUAUGCAUAUUUUAUGAUAAACUCAAGUUCAUGACUUCUCCAUUUUGAUCAUAAUUCAUUGCUCCUCAUCAUUGGCCUUCACAUUUUUUUCUGAAUUUACAUCAUAGUCUACUCAAGUUUAUGAUAUUUGUAUUAUAGCCCCGUCGAAUCAAAAUCGUGAUUAUGCCACAGCUUGCAUCAACAAUAUGGAUCUUUUUUUUUUUUUGGUAAUAAAAAAAAAGAACCCAGAACAGAAUUCUCAUAAACAUUAAGUUAAUUACUUUAGUUUAAUCUGAAAGUUUCAGCUUCUAUAUAAGUUAAUUACUUUAGUUUGGUUAAGAGACCAAUUAGAUCUGAAAGAGAAACAGAAUUCUCACCUUGAAAUUGAUUAUUUUAAUCUGAAAGUUUCAGCUUCUUUACAAGCUAAUUACUUUAGUUUAGUUAAGAGACCAAUUAGAUCUGAAAGAGAAACAGAAUUCUCAUAAACAUCUAUCAGAAAAUCAACAAGUUACCUUCUUGUCAAUAAAAUCGGCCCAGAACCUCGCUUGAGCUCUUUGGUAAGGAUCGUAGGGAAGCAAUGGAGCCUUGUCCUUCCAGACUUCAUCAAUGUACUGAACAAUGAUGGGUGACUCACAGACUGAUUUGCCAUUAUGGAUAAGAACCGGGAUCUUCUUAUGGACGGGAUUCAUCUGCAGAAGCAGCGGGCUCUUGUUGAACAAGUCCUGUUCUUUGUACUCAUACUUGACGCCUUUCUCUGCCAGAGCAAUCCUGACCCUUAUCCCAAACAUACUGGCCCAGAAAUCCAAUAGAAUCACUUCGUCCGCCAUUGUCACAGAACCUUACUGAGAAUUAAGGGCGAGUGAGUGAAUAAAUGAAACGAUGAAUAUCGAAAAGUCAGGUUUUAUGAGAGUGUGCAUUUUAUAGCGUAGAGAUUUGAACAAUGUUUGAGAUGCCGUGUGUGCUACGAA